This 2293-nucleotide ribosomal RNA is filed under the name human gut metagenome. Its description in RNAcentral is "bacterial LSU rRNA". It matches the Rfam family "Bacterial large subunit ribosomal RNA", at positions 14 to 2342 of the family's 2925-position model. The record is from RNAcentral.
AGAGCGCAGGGUGGAUGCCUUGGCACUAAGAGCCGAAGAAAGACGUGAUAAGCUGCGAAAAGCUGCGGGGAGAUGCAAAUAAUCCUUGAUCCGCAGAUGUCUGAAUGGGGAAACCCGGUACGAAGAACUCGUAUCAUCCAUACGCCAAUCCAUAACGUAUGGAGGGGAACCCGGUGAACUGAAACAUCUAAGUAGCCGGAGGAAGAGAAAGAAACAUCGAUUUUGUUAGUAGCGGCGAGCGAAAGCGAAAGAGGCCAAACCGGAGUGCGUGCACUCCGGGGUUCGGACCACAUUUAAGAUUCAGUGAUUCUAGCAGAAAGGUUUGGGAAAGCCUGCCGGAGAGGGUGAAAGCCCCGUAAGCGAAAGGAGAGCUGACUGAGCGGAAUCCAGAGUACAUCGAGACACGAGAAACCUUGAUGGAAUGAGCGGGGACCACCCCGUAAGCCUAAAUACUACUUAGUGACCGAUAGCGCAUAGUACUGUGAAGGAAAGGUGAAAAGGACCCCGGGAGGGGAGUGAAAGAGAACCUGAAACCCUGUGUUUACAAGCUGUGGAAGUUCUUUAAAUGAACAACCGCGUACUUUUUGUAGAACGGUCCGGCGAGUUGCGGAUACUGGCAAGGUUAAGCACUUAAGGUGCGGAGCCGAAGGGAUACCAAGUCUUAACAGGGCGUUAAGUCAGUAUACGCAGACCCGAAACCGGGUGAUCUAUCCAUGUCCAGGUUGAAGUUGUCGUAAAAGACAAUGGAGGACCGAAGCCACAUCCGUUGAAAAGGGUGGGCAUGAGGUGUGGAUAGGGGAGAAAUUCCAAUCGAACCCGGAGAUAGCUGGUUCUCCUCGAAAUAGCUUUAGGGCUAGCCUCAUGCAAGUCUUACGGAGGUAGAGCACUGAAUUCCUAAGGGGGCGUCAAAGCUUACCAAGGGAUAUCAAACUCCGAAUGCCGCAUAAAUGAUGUACGGGAGUCAGACUGCACGAGAUAAGUUGGGUAGUCAAAAGGGAAAGAGCCCAGACCUACAGCUAAGGUCCCAAAGUGUGUGUUAAGUGGAAAAGGAUGUGGGAUUUCAAAGACAACUAGGAUGUUGGCUCAGAAGCAGCCACACAUUCAAAGAGUGCGUAAUAGCUCACUAGUCGAGAGGUCCUGCGCCGAAAAUGUCCGGGGCUGAAACACGACACCGAAGCUUAGGAAUCACAUAGUGAUUGGUAGAGGAGCAUUCUUAAAACCGACGAAGCUGUACCGGAAGGAGCAGUGGAGGGAUAAGAAGAGAGAAUGCCGGAAUGAGUAGCGAGAGGAAGGUGGGAAUCCUUCCGGCCGAAUAUCUAAGGUUUCCAGAGUAAAGCUGAUCUGCUCUGGGUAAGUCGGGGCCUAAGCACAGGUCGCAAGACGUAAGCGAUGGAUAACAGGUUUAGAUUCCUGUACCACGCAUUAUCAGAACUGUAGGGACGCAUGUGGAAAGCACGAGCCGGGAAUGGAAAGACCGGUACAAGCGGGGUAGGUGUACAAUAGGCAAAUCCGUUGUAUAAUCCGAAGACGUGAUGUGGAGCGAAAUAAAGUAGUGAAGCGUGUGAGCCAUGUGCCGAGAAAAGCUGCUAUUGUGUAAUGCGUGCCCGUACCGUAAACCGACACAGGUGGAUGAGGAGAGAAUCCUAAGGCCGACGGAAGAAGCAUUGUUAAGGAAUUCGGCAAAAUGACCCCGUAACUUCGGGAGAAGGGGUGCCUGCGAGAGCAGGCCGCAGAGAAUAGGCUCAAGCAACUGUUUAGCAAAAACACAGGUCUAUGCGAAACCGAAAGGUGAAGUAUAUGGGCUGACGCCUGCCCGGUGCUGGAAGGUUAAGAGGAGAGGUUAGCGCAAGCGAAGCUUUGAAUUUAAGCCCCAGUAAACGGCGGCCGUAACUAUAACGGUCCUAAGGUAGCGAAAUUCCUUGUCGGGUAAGUUCCGACCCGCACGAAAGGCGUAAUGAUUUGAGCGCUGUCUCGACAAUGCAUCCGGUGAAAUUGAAGUACCAGUGAAGAUGCUGGUUACCCGCGCCAGGACGGAAAGACCCCAUGGAGCUUUACUCCAGUUUGAUACUGGGAUUCGGUACUGCAUGUACAGGAUAGGUGGGAGACGAAGAAGGAUGGACGCCAGUCUGUCCGGAGUCGCUGUUGGGAUACCACCCCUGUAGUACUGGGUUUCUAACCAGUUGCCAUGAACUGGCAAUGGGACAAUGUCAGGCGGGGAGUUUGACUGGGGCGGUCGCCUCCGAAAGGGUAUCGGAGGCGCUCAAAGGUUCCCUCAGAAUGGUUGGAAACCAUU